This 319-nucleotide ribosomal RNA is filed under the name uncultured eukaryote. RNAcentral's name for it is "partial 18S ribosomal RNA". It matches the Rfam family "Eukaryotic small subunit ribosomal RNA", at positions 1470 to 1796 of the family's 1831-position model. The record is from RNAcentral.
CCCCUAGAUGUUCUGGGCCGCACGCGCGCUACACUGAACAGUUCAACAAGUCUUAACCUUGGCCGAUAGGUCUGGGUAAUCUUUGAACGCUGUUCGUGAUUGGGAUAGACCUUUGCAAUUAUGGGUCUUCAACGAGGAAUUCCUAGUAAACGCAAGUCAUCAGCUUGCAUUGAUUACGUCCCUGCCCUUUGUACACACCGCCCGUCGCACCUACCGAUUGAAUGGUCCGGUGAAAUCUCGGGACGGCGGCUUGGUCGCUUGCGUCCGACUGCUGAAACUUGAUUAAACCAUAUCAUUUAGAGGAGGUGAAGUCGUAACA